CUGAUGAUGCUUCCAUUGCUUAUUAUUGGUGGUCCUCCGCGGAUGGGUGUCGUAGUGCUGGUCGCCGCCGAUUUCGCCUAAACGGACGCUGGGCCUCCGCUGGCGCUUGGAGCCGACGGUCUCCGAUGACGUGACUGCAAUUGGAGGUGCAGAGCUGCCGCCGUUUAGAUGGCCCUCCGGUGGAGGUAAGUCCGCCAUUUCCCAAGACGAAAGUUUGAGAUCCCCAGGCAAUUUUCCGGUGGCUGAACUUGGGUCCACUGUGUCUAUUGUGCUCCUAUGUAGGUUUGUUAAUAUGUGUAUGAGAUCAUUUCUUAUAUGUGUG
Molecule: unclassified non-coding RNA, 322 nt
Filed under: Hevea brasiliensis (rubber tree)
Lineage: Eukaryota; Viridiplantae; Streptophyta; Magnoliopsida; Malpighiales; Euphorbiaceae
Source: RNAcentral